Molecule: ribosomal RNA, 406 nt
Filed under: Metschnikowia sp. (in: budding yeasts & allies)
Lineage: Eukaryota; Fungi; Ascomycota; Pichiomycetes; Serinales; Metschnikowiaceae
Description: Metschnikowia sp. (in: Fungi) partial large subunit ribosomal RNA
Rfam family: Eukaryotic large subunit ribosomal RNA
Source: RNAcentral
AGUAACGGCGAGUGAAGCGGCAAAAGCUCAAAUUUGAAAUCCUUCGGGAAUUGUAUUUUGAAGGUGGGUUUGGUUAGGAAAAGUUACUUUAAGUCCAUUGGAAAAUGGCGCCAUGGAGGGUGAUAGCCCCGUAAAAGUAUCCCUUUUCCUUUUAUCCAUUCCCUCCAAAGAGUCGAGUUGUUUGGGAAUGCAGCUCUAAGUGGGUGGUAAAUUCCAUCUAAAGCUAAAUAUUGGCGAGAGACCGAUAGCGAACAAGUACAGUGAUGGAAAGAUGAAAAGCACUUUGAAAAGAGAGUGAAAAAGUACGUGAAAUUGUUGAAAGGGAAGGGCUUGCAAGCAGACACAACCUCGGUUGGGCCAGCAUCGGAGUGGGGGGAGACAAAAAAGAAAAGGAAUGUAACUCAUU